RNAcentral lists this ribosomal RNA (492 nucleotides) under uncultured bacterium. Its description in RNAcentral is "partial 16S ribosomal RNA". It matches the Rfam family "Bacterial small subunit ribosomal RNA", at positions 29 to 507 of the family's 1533-position model. The record is from RNAcentral.
AGUGAACGCUGGCGGUAGGCCUAACACAUGCAAGUCGAACGGCAGCACAGUAAGAGCUUGCUCUUACGGGUGGCGAGUGGCGGACGGGUGAGGAAUACAUCGGAAUCUACUUUUUCGUGGGGGAUAACGUAGGGAAACUUACGCUAAUACCGCAUACGACCUACGGGUGAAAGCAGGGGAUCUUCGGACCUUGCGCGAUUGAAUGAGCCGAUGUCGGAUUAGCUAGUUGGCGGGGUAAAGGCCCACCAAGGCGACGAUCCGUAGCUGGUCUGAGAGGAUGAUCAGCCACACUGGAACUGAGACACGGUCCAGACUCCUAAGGGAGGCAGCAGUGGGGAAUAUUGGACAAUGGGCGCAAGCCUGAUCCAGCCAUACCGCGUGGGUGAAGAAGGCCUUCGGGUUGUAAAGCCCUUUUGUUGGGAAAGAAAAGCAGGAGGUUAAUACCCCGCUGUUCUGACGGUACCCAAAGAAUAAGCACCGGCUAACUUCGUG